UGGGGAAUAUUGCGCAAUGGGCGAAAGCCUGACACAGCGACGCCGCGUGAGGGAUGAAGGUUUUCGGAUCGUAAACCUCUGUCAGAAGGGAAGAAACUACGUUGUGCUAAUCAGCAGCGUACUGACGGUACCUUCAAAGGAAGCACCGGCUAACUCCGUGCCAGCAGCCGCGGUAAUACGGAGGGUGCAAGCGUUAAUCGGAAUUACUGGGCGUAAAGCGCACGUAGGCUGUAGUGUAAGUCAGGGGUGAAAUUCCACGGCUCAACCGUGGAACUGCCUUUGAUACUGCACAACUUGAAUCCGGGAGAGGGUGGCGGAAUUCCAGGUGUAGGAGUGAAGUCCGUAGAUAUCUGGAGGAACAUCAGUGGCGAAGGCGGCCACCUGGACCGGUAUUGACGCUGAGGUGCGAAAGCGUGGGGAGCAAACAG
This 428-nucleotide ribosomal RNA is filed under the name uncultured bacterium. RNAcentral's name for it is "bacterial SSU rRNA". It matches the Rfam family "Bacterial small subunit ribosomal RNA", at positions 355 to 775 of the family's 1533-position model. The record is from RNAcentral.